AGAGUUUGAUCAUGGCUCAGAACGUACGCUGGCGGCACGCCUAACACAUGCAAGUCGAACGAAGUAGCAAUACUUAGUGGCAGACGGGUGAGUAACAUGUAGGUAUCUGCCCUUUGGCCUGGAAUAACACGAGGAAACUUGUGCUAAUACCGGAUAAGUCUUUACGGAGAAAGCUUUAUGCACCAUUGGAUGAGCCUGCACUUGAUUAGUUUGUUGGUGGGGUAAUGGCCUACCAAGACUUUGAUCAAUAGCUGAUUUGAGAGGAUGAUCAGCCACAUUGGGACUGAGACACGGCCCAAACUCCUACGGGAGGCAGCAGUGGGGAAUCUUGCACAAUGGAGGAAACUCUGAUGCAGCGAUGCCGCGUGAGUGAAGAAGGCCCUUGGGUUGUAAAGCUCUUUCGUCGGGGAAGAAAAUGACUGUACCCGAAUAAGAAGGUCCGGCUAACUUCGUGCCAGCAGCCGCGGUAAUACGAAGGGACCUAGCGUAGUUCGGAAUUACUGGGCUUAAAGAGUUCGUAGGUGGUUGAAAAAGUUGGUGGUGAAAUCCCAGAGCUUAACUCUGGAACUGCCAUCAAAACUUUUCAGCUAGAGUAUGAUAGAGGAAAGCAGAAUUUCUAGUGUAGAGGUGAAAUUCGUAGAUAUUAGAAAGAAUACCAAUUGCGAAGGCAGCUUUCUGGAUCAUUACUGACACUGAGGAACGAAAGCAUGGGUAGCGAAGAGGAUUAGAUACCCUCGUAGUCCAUGCCGUAAACGAUGUGUGUUAGACGUUGGAAAUUUAUUUUCAGUGUCGCAGCGAAAGCGAUAAACACACCGCCUGGGGAGUACGACCGCAAGGUUAAAACUCAAAUGAAUUGACGGGGACCCGCACAAGUAGUGGAGCAUGUGGUUUAAUUCGAAGAUACGCGCAGAACCUUACCAACACUUGACAUGUUCGUCGCGACUCUAAGAGAUUAGAGUUUUCGGUUCGGCCGGACGAAACACAGGUGCUGCAUGGCUGUCGUCAGCUCGUGUCGUGAGAUGUUGGGUUAAGUCCCGCAACGAGCGCAACCCUCACUUUUAGUUGCCAUCAUUAAGUUGGGCACUCUGAAAGAACUGCCAGUGAUAAGCUGGAGGAAGGUGGGGAUGACGUCAAGUCCUCAUGGCCCUUACGUGUUGGGCUACACACGUGCUACAAUGGUAUCUACAACAGGAAGCAAGACGGCGACGUUAAGCAAAUCCUUAAAAGAUACCUCAGUUCGGAUUGCACUCUGCAACUCGAGUGCAUGAAGCUGGAAUUACUAGUAAUCGUGGAUCAGCGUGCCACGGUGAAUGCGUUCCCGGGUCUUGUACACACCGCCCGUCACACCAUGGGAGUUGGUUCUACCUUAAGGCAAGGUUUAAUACCCUUGACCACGGUAUAGUCAGCGACUGGGGUGAAGUCGUAACAAGGUA
This 1433-nucleotide ribosomal RNA is filed under the name uncultured bacterium. Its description in RNAcentral is "bacterial SSU rRNA". It matches the Rfam family "Bacterial small subunit ribosomal RNA". The record is from RNAcentral.